AUCUUCAGGGCAGGGUGAAAUUCCCGAUCGGCGGUAAAGUCCGCGUGCGCGCAGCGCAUGAUUUGGUGUGAUUCCAAAACCGACAGUAUAGUCUGGAUGAAAGAAGACA
RNAcentral lists this non-coding RNA (109 nucleotides) under chicken gut metagenome. RNAcentral's name for it is "FMN riboswitch (RFN element)". It matches the Rfam family "FMN riboswitch aptamer (RFN element)". From Rfam's summary of the family: The RFN element is a highly conserved domain that is found frequently in the 5'-untranslated regions of prokaryotic mRNAs that encode for flavin mononucleotide (FMN) biosynthesis and transport proteins. This element is a metabolite-dependent riboswitch that directly binds FMN in the absence of proteins. The record is from RNAcentral.